AGAGUUUGAUUCUGGCUCAGGAUGAACGCUGGCGGCGUGCCUAAUACAUGCAAGUCGAACGGGAAGUAUAAAUUUCGAUUUUUACUUCUAGUGGCGAACGGGUGAGUAACGCGUUGGUGACCUGCCCCGAAGAGGGGGACAACUCCGCGAAAGCGGAGCUAAUACCCCAUGUGGUCUCUGAGAUUAGAAGCUCGGUGACUAAAGGAGCAAUCCACUUCGGGAGGGGCCUGCGUCCCAUCAGCUAGUUGGUAAGGUAACGGCCUACCAAGGCGAUGACGGGUAGGGGACCUGAGAGGGUGGUCCCCCACACUGGCACUGAAACACGGGCCAGACACCUACGGGUGGCAGCAGUAGGGAAUAUUGCACAAUGGGCGAAAGCCUGAUGCAGCAACGCCGCGUGCGCGAAGAAGGCCUUCGGGUUGUAAAGCGCUUUUCUGGAGGAAGAGGAAGGACGGUACUCCAGGAAUAAGGAUCGGCUAACUACGUGCCAGCAGCCGCGGUAACACGUAGGAUCCGAGCGUUAUCCGAAUUUACUGGGUGUAAAGCGCGUGUAGGCGGCCGGGUAAGUUGGACGUGAAAGCUCCUGGCUCAACUAGGAGAGGUCGUUCAAAACUGCCUGGCUAGAGGGCGACAGAGGGAGGUGGAAUUCCCGGUGUAGUGGUGAAAUGCGUAGAUAUCGGGAGGAACUCCAGUGGCGAAGGCGGCCUCCUGGGUCGCCCCUGACGCUCAGACGCGAAAGCUAGGGGAGCAAACGGGAUUAGAUACCCCGGUAGUCCUAGCUGUAAACGAUGUGAACUUGGCGUUGGUGGGGUCAAAUCCAUCAGUGCCGUAGCUAACGCGAUAAGUUCACCGCCUGGGGACUAC
Molecule: ribosomal RNA, 864 nt
Filed under: uncultured Chloroflexota bacterium
Lineage: Bacteria; Bacillati; Chloroflexota
Description: bacterial SSU rRNA
Rfam family: Bacterial small subunit ribosomal RNA
Source: RNAcentral